Molecule: transfer RNA, 76 nt
Filed under: Methylobacterium nodulans ORS 2060
Lineage: Bacteria; Pseudomonadati; Pseudomonadota; Alphaproteobacteria; Hyphomicrobiales; Methylobacteriaceae
Description: tRNA-Arg (TCG) (tRNA-Arg-TCG-1-1)
Rfam family: tRNA
About the family: Transfer RNA (tRNA) molecules are approximately 80 nucleotides in length. Their secondary structure includes four short double-helical elements and three loops (D, anti-codon, and T loops).
Source: RNAcentral
GCCGCGUAGCUCAACCGGAGAGAGCCUCAGCCUUCGAAGCUGAGGGGUGCAGGGUCGAGCCCUGCCGCGGUCGCCA